Molecule: ribosomal RNA, 443 nt
Filed under: uncultured bacterium
Lineage: Bacteria
Description: partial 16S ribosomal RNA
Rfam family: Bacterial small subunit ribosomal RNA
Source: RNAcentral
CCUACGGGUGGCAGCAGUGGGGAAUAUUGGGCAAUGGAGGAAACUCUUACCCAGCAACGCCGCGUGAAUGAUGAAGGUCUUCGGAUUGUAAAGUUCUUUUCUUAGGGACGAAGACAAUGACGGUACCCUAGGAAUAAGCCCCGGCUAACUACGUGCCAGCAGCCGCGGUAAAACGUAGGGGGCGAGCGUUAUCCGGAAUGACUGGGCGUAAGGGGUUGGUAGGUGGUUUGGAAAGUUAGUAGUGUAAACCCAAGGCUCAACCUAGGUACUACUACUAAAACUGGUAGACUUGAGUGCAGGAGAGGAAAGCGGAAUUCCUAGUGUAGCGGUGGAAUGCGUAGAUAUUAGGAGGAACACCAGUGGCGAAGGCGAGUUGCUAGACUGUAACUGACGCUGAGGCACGAAAGCGUGGGGAGCAAACAGGAUUAGAUACCCCAGUAGUC